This 400-nucleotide ribosomal RNA is filed under the name uncultured bacterium. Its description in RNAcentral is "bacterial SSU rRNA". It matches the Rfam family "Bacterial small subunit ribosomal RNA", at positions 355 to 746 of the family's 1533-position model. The record is from RNAcentral.
UAGGGAAUUUUGCACAAUGGGCGCAAGCCUGAUGCAGCAACGCCGCGUGAGUGAAGAAGGCUCUUGGGUUGUAAAGCUCUUUCGGCUGGAAAGAAGGGGUUGCCUGCGAAUAGUUGGCAGCUCUGACGGUACCAGAAGAAGAAGCACCUGCUAACUUCGUGCCAGCAGCAGCGGUAAUACGAAGGGUGCAAGCGUUGUUCGGAAUUAUUGGGCGUAAAGCGCGCGUAGGCGGGUUGGUAAGUCGAUUGUGAAAGCCCUGGGCUUAACCUGGGAACUGCAGUCGAAACUACCGAUCUUGAGUGCCUGAGAGGAUGGCGGAAUUCCCGGUGUAGUAGUGAAAUACGUAGAUAUCGGGAGGAACACCUGAGGCGAAGGCGGCUAUCUGGCGGUGCACUGACGC